Molecule: ribosomal RNA, 253 nt
Filed under: uncultured bacterium
Lineage: Bacteria
Description: partial 16S ribosomal RNA
Rfam family: Bacterial small subunit ribosomal RNA
Source: RNAcentral
UACGUAGGGCGCAAGCGUUAUCCGGAAUUAUUGGGCGUAAAGAGCUCGUAGGCGGUUUGUCGCGUCUGCCGUGAAAGUCCGGGGCUCAACUCCGGAUCUGCGGUGGGUACGGGCAGACUAGAGUGAUGUAGGGGAGACUGGAAUUCCUGGUGUAGCGGUGAAAUGCGUAGAUAUCGGGAGGAACACCUGAGGCGAAGGCGGGCUACUGGGCUGAUACUGACGCUGAUGCGCGAAAGCCAGGGGAGCGAACGGG